GGCUUCAUAGCUCAGCAGUUGGUUAGAGCGUCGCAUCGGUUUCGCGAGGUCACGGGUUCAAACCCCGUUGAAGUUC
This 76-nucleotide transfer RNA is filed under the name Acropora cervicornis. RNAcentral's name for it is "tRNA-Thr". It matches the Rfam family "tRNA". From Rfam's summary of the family: Transfer RNA (tRNA) molecules are approximately 80 nucleotides in length. Their secondary structure includes four short double-helical elements and three loops (D, anti-codon, and T loops). Further hydrogen bonds mediate the characteristic L-shaped molecular structure. tRNAs have two regions of fundamental functional importance: the anti-codon, which is responsible for specific mRNA codon recognition, and the 3' end, to which the tRNAs corresponding amino acid is attached (by aminoacyl-tRNA synthetases). tRNAs cope with the degeneracy of the genetic code in two manners: having more than one tRNA (with a specific anti-codon) for a particular amino acid; and 'wobble' base-pairing, i.e. permitting non-standard base-pairing at the 3rd anti-codon position. Lineage: Eukaryota; Metazoa; Cnidaria; Anthozoa; Scleractinia; Acroporidae. The record is from RNAcentral.